AUGGGCAAGGCUUCGAAAGACAAGCGGGACAUCUACUACCGGAAGGCCAAGGAGGAGGGGUGGAGGGCUCGCAGCGCCUUCAAGCUCAUGCAGAUCGACCAGGAGUUCAACAUCUUCCACGGAGUGAAGCGUGCCGUUGACCUGUGCGCCGCUCCUGGGAGCUGGAGCCAGGUUUUGAGCCGCAAUUUGUAUUUACCGGCGAAGCUAUCAUCUGACGGCAAAGAUGGUGGCCUUCCUCUCAUCGUCGCAAUCGAUCUGCAACCUAUGGCUCCGAUAGAAGGUGUCAUACAAGUGCAGGGCGACAUCACCAAUGCUCGAACAGCGGAAGUGGUUAUCAGGCACUUUGAUGGAUGCAAAGCGGACUUGGUUGUCUGUGAUGGUGCCCCUGAUGUUACUGGACUUCAUGAUAUGGACGAGUUUGUUCAGUCCCAGCUUAUAUUGGCGGCACUGACAAUUGUGACUCAUGUACUUAAAGUUGGUGGAAAAUUUGUUGCGAAGAUUUUCCGGGGUAAAGAUACAAGUCUCCUGUAUUGCCAGUUAAAGCUGUUCUUCUCACAAGUUACAUUUGCAAAGCCAAAAAGCAGCCGCAACUCAAGUAUCGAGGCAUUUGCAGUUUGCGAGAACUACUCACCUCCAGAGGGCUUCAAAGAGAAAGAUUUAUAUCACCUGUUGGAGAAAGUGGGAACUCCUUCUGGGGCUGAUGAUUUAGAUUGCAGAAGCGGAUGGUUGGAGGGACCAAACAAGGUCUACAUCCCGUUUCUGGCUUGUGGCGACCUCAGCGGUUACGAUUCGGACCGUUCAUACCCCCUCCCGAGCACAGAAGGCGGCACCUACCAGAGCCUAGAUCCAGUCCAGCCUCCCAUCGCCCCGCCGUACAAAACUGCGUUGGAGAUGAAGAAGGCGUCUAGCCACGGUGCUGGCGCAGAUACCAGCAAAUCAUCUCUCGACCCCUAA
Molecule: ribosomal RNA, 954 nt
Filed under: Triticum aestivum (bread wheat)
Lineage: Eukaryota; Viridiplantae; Streptophyta; Magnoliopsida; Poales; Poaceae
Description: partial small subunit ribosomal RNA
Source: RNAcentral